RNAcentral lists this ribosomal RNA (859 nucleotides) under uncultured Propionibacteriaceae bacterium. RNAcentral's name for it is "bacterial SSU rRNA". It matches the Rfam family "Bacterial small subunit ribosomal RNA", at positions 528 to 1382 of the family's 1533-position model. Lineage: Bacteria; Bacillati; Actinomycetota; Actinomycetes; Propionibacteriales; Propionibacteriaceae. The record is from RNAcentral.
UAGGGUGCGAGCGUUGUCCGGAUUUAUUGGGCGUAAAGGGCUCGUAGGUGGUUGAUCGCGUCGGAAGUGUAAUCUUGGGGCUUAACCCUGAGCGUGCUUUCGAUACGGGUUGACUUGAGGAAGGUAGGGGAGAAUGGAAUUCCUGGUGGAGCGGUGGAAUGCGCAGAUAUCAGGAGGAACACCAGUGGCGAAGGCGGUUCUCUGGGCCUUUCCUGACGCUGAGGAGCGAAAGCGUGGGGAGCGAACAGGCUUAGAUACCCUGGUAGUCCACGCUGUAAACGGUGGGUACUAGGUGUGGGGUCCAUUCCACGGGUUCCGUGCCGUAGCUAACGCUUUAAAUACCCCGCCUGGGGAGUACGGCCGCAAGGCUAAAACUCAAAGGAAUUGACGGGGCCCCGCACAAGCGGCGGAGCAUGCGGAUUAAUUCGAUGCAACGCGUAGAACCUUACCUGGGUUUGACAUGGAUCGGGAGUGCUCAGAGAUGGGUGUGCCUCUUUUGGGGUCGGUUCACAGGUGGUGCAUGGCUGUCGUCAGCUCGUGUCGUGAGAUGUUGGGUUAAGUCCCGCAACGAGCGCAACCCUUGUUCACUGUUGCCAGCACGUUAUGGUGGGGACUCAGUGGAGACCGCCGGGGUCAACUCGGAGGAAGGUGGGGAUGACGUCAAGUCAUCAUGCCCCUUAUGUCCAGGGCUUCACGCAUGCUACAAUGGCUGGUACAGAGAGUGGCGAGCCUGUGAGGGUGAGCGAAUCUCGGAAAGCCGGUCUCAGUUCGGAUUGGGGUCUGCAACUCGACCUCAUGAAGUCGGAGUCGCUAGUAAUCGCAGAUCAGCAACGCUGCGGUGAAUACGUUCCCGGGGCUU